This 799-nucleotide ribosomal RNA is filed under the name Macrobiotus sandrae. RNAcentral describes it as "SSU rRNA". It matches the Rfam family "Eukaryotic small subunit ribosomal RNA", at positions 135 to 934 of the family's 1831-position model. Lineage: Eukaryota; Metazoa; Tardigrada; Eutardigrada; Parachela; Macrobiotidae. The record is from RNAcentral.
UUACACGGAUAACUGUGGUAAUUCUAGAGCUAAUACGUGCAAUUAGCUCGCUUCCUUGUGGAGCGAGCGCAGUUAUUAGAUCAAAACCAAUCCGGCCUUCGGGUCGGUACAAUUGGUGACUCUGAAUAACCGAAGCGGAGCGCAUGGUCUCGUACCGGCGCCAGAUCUUUCAAGUGUCUGACUUAUCAGCUUGUUGUUAGGUUACGUUCCUAACAAGGCUUCAACGGGUAACGGGGUAUCAGGGUCGAUACCGGAGAGGGAGCCUGAGAAACGGCUACCACAUCCAAGGAAGGCAGCAGGCGCGCAAAUUACCCACUCCUAGCACAGGGAGGUAGUGACGAAAAAUAACGAUGCGAGGGCUAUUAGCUUCUCGUAAUCGGAAUGGGUACACUUUAAAUCCUUUAACGAGGAUCUAUUGGAGGGCAAGUCUGGUGCCAGCAGCCGCGGUAAUUCCAGCUCCAAUAGCGUAUAUUAAAGUUGCUGCGGUUAAAAAGCUCGUAGUUGGAUCUGGGCUUCUGAAUGGAUGGUGCACUUUUCGGUGCAACUGUUCGUUUGGUGCCACAAGCCGGCCAUGUCUUGCAUGCUCUUCAUUGAGUGUGCAUGGCGACCGGAACGUUUACUUUGAAAAAAUUAGAGUGCUCAAAGCAGGCGUACGGCCUUGCAUAAUGGUGCAUGGAAUAAUGGAAUAGGACCUCGGUUCUAUUUUGUUGGUUUUCGGAACUCGAGGUAAUGAUUAAUAGGAACAGACGGGGGCAUUCGUAUUGCGGCGUUAGAGGUGAAAUUCUUGGAUCGUCGCAAG